AUUGAACGCUGGCGGCAUGCCUUACACAUGCAAGUCGAACGGCAGCAUGGAGAGCUUGCUCUCUGAUGGCGAGUGGCGAACGGGUGAGUAAUGCAUCGGAACGUACCGUGUAAUGGGGGAUAACGUAGCGAAAGUUACGCUAAUACCGCAUACGACCUGAGGGUGAAAGCCGGGGAUCGCAAGACCUUGCGUUAUACGAGCGGCCGAUGUCAGAUUAGCUAGUUGGUGAGGUAAAGGCUCACCAAGGCGACGAUCUGUAGCGGGUCUGAGAGGAUAAUCCGCCAAACUAGGACUGAGACACGGCCCAGACUCCUACGGGAGGCAGCAGUGGGGAAUUUUGGACAAUGGGGGCAACCCUGAUCCAGCCAUGCCGCGUGAGUGAAGAAGGCCUUCGGGUUGUAAAGCUCUUUCGGCCGGGAAGAAAUCGCACAGGCUAAUACUCUGUGUGGAUGACGGUACCGGCAUAAGAAGCACCGGCUAACUACGUGCCAGCCGCCGCGGUAA
This 504-nucleotide ribosomal RNA is filed under the name uncultured bacterium. RNAcentral describes it as "partial 16S ribosomal RNA". It matches the Rfam family "Bacterial small subunit ribosomal RNA", at positions 30 to 523 of the family's 1533-position model. The record is from RNAcentral.